GCUUCUGAGCCUGGGUUUUCUUAAGCUGGCUCUAGGAAUAAAUGCAUGUUUGUACAGAGAUGUACUACCAUGGACAACUACUUUCUUAGUAGUUCUACAUGGUUCAUGGGAUCAACUCAGCAGUCACUCAGUGAGCAUUGGUUGGAGCAGUGAGGAACCCAUCAAAAAAUGAACCAUGGAUUCUGCUGCCAUUUGGAAGUACUGCCUCAGAACUCUGUGAACAUUUGUGAUGGAUCAACAGGCAUCUCAGGCUGUUGCAUGUCAGGUAAACCAACCGAGCUGCCACAUCUGCCUGAUGCUCGCUUUGAGAAGUUGUUAUUAAAGAAAGAGAGGACUGCCCAUGAGAGAAUGUUUUGAAAACUCUUCCUUAACUACACCUAACAGCUGCAAGGACCUUCUGGUUGCCUCCUCCCAGCCCUCCUCAGUCAAAGGAAGCCGCAUCUGUGGAAGUCUGGAGCACGCUGUCAGGAGGACAGCAAUGAAUGUACAGCUGUACCACUUUAAUAUCAGAUGGGGCCGGCAGGUACGCUCAUGAUGGAGAGAUGUGCUGCAGAAUUCCACCAAUUGUUUCAGGAAUGCACAUGCUAUUCUGUUACGCAACGAAAACCCAAGGAAGGCAAGGAUGCAUUACAUCUGAAUCAGAGUUAAGUGCAGAACAAACGGGUCCUGUUCAAAACAUCCCGUCACUGUGGUUUAUACAAAGAAUCUUCAAAUCCUGUUGCACCAGUGCAACAACUGCUGUUGCUUCCCCCUGCUCCAGGACUGAGUUUGCUGAUGGAGUUGCACUGUGCUAGAAAGCCACCCCACCCUCCAGAGAAGUAUUAGUUCCAUGAAGUACUUGUUCCAGCAUUCACAAAACCUAACAGCAGUCUAUCUUCUGCACCCUUUAAGUUAAGCACUGAAAAGGGUGACAGAACGUGUAGUAGGCAUCAGAACAACAGAAAUUUAACUCCACAGAGGCUCAAAUUUAGUGAAUUCAGUAAUUUAUUCCAUCCUCCUUUGUGUGCACCUGCCAUAAAUUGGGUAUCUGUAUACACCAUUCCAUUAUCUUCAACCCCCCUGCAAAUACAUAGUUAUGACAGACACUCAGAAUGGUCAGACUGCUGUUGUACAGCCCUUCUAAUCAGAGCGAGGUGGUGCACUGUGAGAGACUGAUGGGAGCUCCAGGGCAGGUCUUCCAGCUGAAUGAGACUUUGCCCCAUGUUAAUUGCAUUCCUGCUUUUGCAGUUUUAUUUGCAGGACCUGCUGGUUUUUUGGUGCUUUUUUUUUUUUUAAUACAACGAGGAAGUUCAGUAUAUCAGUACAUGUACUACUUUCAACCUUCCCACUAAAAAAACCCCCCAAAAACCAACCAAAACCAAACAUGGUCAGGGAGAUGGAAUUGAGUACUUAAUUCUCUUAAAAAUUUCUAAGAAUAACAUGAAAAUAUUUCACUCACUUCUAAGGAAUUACCUUGACUUACCUUCAUUGAAAACAUAACUCUGAAUGAGCUUUCGUAUCUGUGUGCUAUACCAGAGACCCAGCUUGGUUCAUUAACAGUUAGGGCGGUUCUACUACUGGAAAACUCUCACUCCUGCUAGAGAUGAAACAUCCACCGUAUGCCGGAUUUAAUAUCAUUCUCUUCUUAAUUGUGAUGGUUGUAGGGAUUACAAGCAGCCUAUGUUAGUGACAAAAUAGAGGAAGCACAAGAGACUUUGUUCCAGCCAAAUGGGCCACUUAAGAAACAAAACCAUAAUUUAUUACUUUUGUAUGGGCUAGAGCUUGAGAAAGAAAAGAAAGAAAUCCUCUUAAAAUCCCCUUCGUAUGACAGCUGACUGAGCCCAGACUUUGUACAGACAGACCAUCUUUAGGAGAGUUCAGAAGCAAUGUACUCCGCCCAGUCACUGUAUUUAGAGGUAGUGCUUAAGGUGACCUGUAACAGAGGCGUAUCCUUUUUUGCUUCUUUAUGCUGUUUGUAGAAGGAGAAACUGAGUGACUAGGGGAUUCCUAUUUCUGACACUAAUUUACGUGGUGGAGGAAAGUCUUUUGUCUGAAUGUGCUUCAGGUUUUUCAGUGGUAACUUACCAUCUUCUGGAGUGUGCUUUGCAGUCUGCAGGUGGAAAUGAAUGUAAGGAAAGGCCAAAAUGUGUGCAGGCACGGCAGCAGGAAAGAGCAUUACUUACUUAUCUAAAAACACUAGAUACCUGCUUUUUUGAUCCAAAGUUUCUUGAAAAAUAUGAAAAUAUGAAAAUAGAAGAUUUCUUCUAGUUCUUUUCACACCACAGGUCUUGCCUCUUACCACAGAACUUUUUCCUGUCUUUUAAUGCAACUCAACUAAGCAAAUACUGAUUAAAAGGUUUGUUUCACACACGUUUGUACUGACUCCGCUUCUGCAUAGUUCUGUUUCUUGUUUUUGUUUGUUUGUUUUCUUUGCUUUUUUUCUAAAUCUCCCACCUGCACUGAAUUCUUCAUCCCUUUCUG
This 2460-nucleotide long non-coding RNA is filed under the name Gallus gallus (chicken). Its description in RNAcentral is "lncRNA (ENSGALG00010028252.1)". The record is from RNAcentral. Lineage: Eukaryota; Metazoa; Chordata; Aves; Galliformes; Phasianidae.